GAAGCCCAGUCAAGCUAAACAAUGCUUACACCUCACACCCAGUUUGAAAGAUCCAAAAGUCAAAAACCUGAAAAUUGCGUACAAAACAGGAAUGACUGUCAACCCACAACAAUUGACUUUCAAGGCAAAAUGUCCAAAACUGCAAACAACAAGUACUGUCAAACUUAUCAAAAUAAAGGACCUCAAUAAUUCUGACAGGGUUAAUGUCACAGCAAAAAUGGUCAAGGUUGUAGAGGAAACGAAA
Long non-coding RNA from Lineus longissimus, 244 nucleotides. RefSeq lists it as uncharacterized. The record is from RefSeq and is a predicted model, not a curated record. The transcript is spliced from 2 exons. Lineage: Eukaryota; Metazoa; Nemertea; Pilidiophora; Heteronemertea; Lineidae.